Molecule: long non-coding RNA, 260 nt
Filed under: Setaria viridis
Lineage: Eukaryota; Viridiplantae; Streptophyta; Magnoliopsida; Poales; Poaceae
Description: long non-coding RNA (SVIR_LNC000688)
Source: RNAcentral
AAAGAUAGGAACUAGUCGAGGAUUAAGAAAAUACUCGUUGUAAUAGGAGUAGAACUUCUCUAGUCGUAUCCGACUAGUAUUCCUAUAAAUCAACCAACAUGUAACCCUACCCUCGAGUAUAUAAGGUGAGGCAGGGACCACCUCCAAAGCAAUUCAAUCCAACCAACACACAGGAUGUAGGGUAUUACGCUAUUUAGUGGCCCAAACCUAUCUAAAUCAUGUGUCUGCAUUUACCUUCAAGUUCCUGAUCUCAACGAGCC